Molecule: long non-coding RNA, 565 nt
Organism: Neopelma chrysocephalum (saffron-crested tyrant-manakin)
Lineage: Eukaryota; Metazoa; Chordata; Aves; Passeriformes; Pipridae
Exons: 4
Source: RefSeq, a predicted model, not a curated record
GGCAGGGAAAUCUAGACAUUUCUGUGAAAUCUAUGGAAGAGUCAGGAAAGGAAGCCAAGCAAUGGAAGAUGAUAUGACCCGUAACACACUGAGACCCUGUGAUAGAUACUAUGCAAACCCACUCUGCUCCCUCUUGCCUAUAAAGCAGUGCCUGCUAAGUGAAUCCCCUCUUGCCUGCCUUCCCUGAGUGACUGUAGAGCUGUAUCCAAACUCCUGGAAGGAGCUACGCUGCAAAAGGAACAGGGAAGGAUGAAACCAGUCAGUAGCAUUUCCAGAUAGCUGUUCAGCGAGGAUGGGAGGAAGAGUGGAUCUGCAAGGAUGUGAAUAGAAAUGACAGCAGAAACCUAUGGGACCAGUCUGCAGUUCAUGUUUGGAUACUCUUCUGAGUAAUGACUCUCUGUGAAGGAGGAAAGGAAGAUAGGGCACAACAGAGCUGAUAGAUCACUAAAUUGACUAGUUGGUAUGACAGCUGCUUAUGGUGCCUGGCAGAUCUGUAUGUACCAGCAAUGGGCUAGUCGUGGAGUAUAUACUUCACUAUAUAUUACAAUUUUGAAUACCUCUGUGA